Molecule: long non-coding RNA, 384 nt
Organism: Rhipicephalus sanguineus (brown dog tick)
Lineage: Eukaryota; Metazoa; Arthropoda; Arachnida; Ixodida; Ixodidae
Exons: 3
Source: RefSeq, a predicted model, not a curated record
UGGAGUUCUCUCCUUGGUAUGUUGGCUACAGUCCUGCUCGGGAUACUGAUAAGUGUUAUCACAGGUGAGCAUCGGCAACGGCACCCUGACGUCGCACACUUGAACAAACGGUGCGUUCAGCUCUGGCGUAAGCUGGGCGUUAUGGAGAGAGACGAAAGUUUCUCGAUAAAGGAGACAGAAGGCAGCAAAGAAGAGCAACAAACAACGAAAACGCUUUUAUCUUCUCAAUGUGAAGAAAAGCAGGAAUCGACAGUUUGAACUUUCAGAACCUGUUGUUUAGCAUGUUUAUUUUUUGCUGGACAAAAUGAUCCCAUGGUACAGAUUACAAAGAAGUUAUAUGCAGAGGCUAGGUGCAAUGUUUGCCACCCAAACGAAGGCGCUAGC